CUGUAUUUCAUUGAUCCUGAUGAUGAUGCAGACAGAAGGUCUAUCCUGAACAAAUCAUCUACUGCCACAGAUAUUCUCCUUUACAUCCACCCAGUCAUGCACAAAGCAGGUAAUACAGGUGUAAACAGCCAUCUGUGACUGAAGGGAUGAUGAAAGCGGGUUUAAAGGGGUUUAUCCUGAAAGCAUCUGGUCCUGCUGCAGUGUCUGUAAUCAGAUUCACCUGUGAGACGCUCAUGGCCCGCAGAUGACAGGAAGGCCUUACGACUGGAAUGUCGUCUCCUCCAGAGAGGAAAUUAAUUUCUUCUGAUUUUUCGAAAGCGAUGGCCACCGCUUGGUUUGCAGGCCGAGGGUUAGACGGCUGCGACUGAAUCUGGGCUUGGAGAGCUGGAGCUGAAGCUUUCAUUAAGAGUGAUUCUGUAGAGGAGCUGGCGAGAGAAGAAGCCUUUGAAUGCGUCUGCAUCCGUAGCGCUGUGGAGAAAUAUCUUUUUAUCAUCUCUGCGUCUCUAGAGAUAAUCGACUCGUCUCUGAGUGGGUUGAAAAAGUUUUUCCGUCCAGCAGAUUAGCGCCGCAGUUUAAGCUCACAUUCACACAGACUGCCAAACACAUCCGAGAGAGUUUCAGCAAACACAGGAAAUGCCAUCAGAGUCUGUUUGACUCUCUCUCUGGAAAUAAUAAAGAAGGGUGAGCAUCCUUCUAACAAUAGCCGGCGGGCUACGAGUCUGCUAUUAAGAGAGAAACAUCUCUGCAUCUUCUUAAAGCAAACUGACAAAUAUUUAUGCAUCAAAUCCAAACAGUCACUGAGUAAGUUUCAAAAGGUUGUCAGGAUAAUUAAGAUGCACCUCAUUUUGGUUUCAUGCAUCCUUCACAGAGAAGGCAAUUCCAGAAUGCAUUGC
This is a long non-coding RNA of Cyprinus carpio carpio, 893 nucleotides long. Lineage: Eukaryota; Metazoa; Chordata; Actinopteri; Cypriniformes; Cyprinidae. The record is from Ensembl.